This 163-nucleotide ribosomal RNA is filed under the name Antipathes sp. 1 GB-2006. Its description in RNAcentral is "partial 18S ribosomal RNA". It matches the Rfam family "Eukaryotic small subunit ribosomal RNA", at positions 1669 to 1831 of the family's 1831-position model. The record is from RNAcentral. Lineage: Eukaryota; Metazoa; Cnidaria; Anthozoa; Antipatharia; Antipathidae.
CCGCGCGUCUCUACCGAUUGAAUGGUUUAGUGAGGCCUCCUGAUUGGCGCCGCCGCCCCGGCAACGGAGUAGCGGAUGCCGAGAAGUUGGUCAAACUUGAUCAUUUAGAGGAAGUAAAAGUCGUAACAAGGUUUCCGUAGGUGAACCUGCGGAAGGAUCAUUA